GCAGACAAAGCCAAACCCGUUGAGAGACGGGGACGGAAAGCCACGGGUCCUUCGGGACAGCCGGGUUGCCACGU
This 74-nucleotide non-coding RNA is filed under the name Desulfobulbaceae bacterium. RNAcentral describes it as "c-di-GMP sequence". It matches the Rfam family "c-di-GMP-I-GGC riboswitch aptamer". Lineage: Bacteria; Pseudomonadati; Thermodesulfobacteriota; Desulfobulbia; Desulfobulbales; Desulfobulbaceae. The record is from RNAcentral.